This 313-nucleotide unclassified non-coding RNA is filed under the name plant metagenome. RNAcentral describes it as "partial contains small subunit ribosomal RNA, internal transcribed spacer 1, and 5.8S ribosomal RNA". The record is from RNAcentral.
UUUCCGUAGGUGAACCUGCGGAAGGAUCAUUAUUGAAUGAACUUGGUAGUGGUUGUAGCUGGCUCUCUCGAGAGCAUGUGCACACCCGCCAUCUUUAUCUUUCCACCUGUGCACUUCUUGUAGACUUUGGGAUUUGAAAACUUAUCCGGGGCAACUCGGUCGGGAGGAGCUGCUGUAGCAAUACGGCUCUCCUUGACAAGUCUUCAAAGUCUAUGAUUUUCAUAUACCCCAUAGUAUGUAACAGAAUGUAUACAAAUGAGCCUUAGUGCUUAUAAAACUUAUACAACUUUCAACAACGGAUCUCUUGGCUCUC